AGCGGACGCUGGCGGCAGGCUUAACACAUGCAAGUCGAGCGCCGUAGCAAUACGGAGCGGCAGACGGGUGAGUAACACGUGGGAACGUGCCUUCUGGUUCGGAAUAACUCAGGGAAACUUGAGCUAAUACCGGAUAAGCCCUUCGGGGGAAAGAUUUAUCGCCGGAAGAUCGGCCCGCGUAAGAUUAGCUAGUUGGUGAGGUAAUGGCUCACCAAGGCUACGAUCUUUGGCUGGUCUGAGAGGAUGAUCAGCCACACUGGGACUGAGACACGGCCCAGACUCCUACGGGAGGCAGCAGUGGGGAAUAUUGGACAAUGGACGCAAGCCUGAUCCAGCCAUGCCGCGUGAGUGAUGAAGGCCUUAGGGUUGUAAAGCUCUUUUAGCAGGGACGAUAAUGACGGUACCUGCAGAAAAAGCCCCGGCCAACUUCGUGCCAGCCGCCGCCGUAA
RNAcentral lists this ribosomal RNA (449 nucleotides) under uncultured bacterium. RNAcentral describes it as "partial 16S ribosomal RNA". It matches the Rfam family "Bacterial small subunit ribosomal RNA", at positions 29 to 523 of the family's 1533-position model. The record is from RNAcentral.